Non-coding RNA from Pelobates cultripes (western spadefoot toad), 233 nucleotides. Lineage: Eukaryota; Metazoa; Chordata; Amphibia; Anura; Pelobatidae. The record is from the annotation of a GenBank genome assembly.
CUCUAGACUUUAUGAGGCUUUAGGCGAAACUCAAACAUGAGGCCCCACUAACAAAAAAGUGGCACAUAUACACAUUGAUGCACAGUUUACCUGUGUAUGUGCCUGAGAGUGUUUCUGACAGAGAAUAUCCUUGUGUGUGAAUGUAUGUCUCUGUGAGCAUGUUUGCGUUUUUUUCUGAGACUCUAUGUGUAUGGGGUAGCUGCUUGAAGUGUGUUGUGUGUAUGGGGGGGGUG